RNAcentral lists this unclassified non-coding RNA (183 nucleotides) under uncultured Ascomycota. RNAcentral's name for it is "sequence contains ITS2". Lineage: Eukaryota; Fungi; Ascomycota. The record is from RNAcentral.
CACCAAUCAAGCCCUGCUUGGCAUUAGGUCUUCACGCCCCCGGUCGUCAGACGGCGGGGCGGGCCUCAAAACCUUCGGCGGAGUCUCAUCGACUUUGGGCGUAGCAGAAUUUCUAAAACGUCAAGAGCGCUGAGCCUCCCGCCGCGAAGAACCGGCGGUCGAGAGACCCCAUCUUUUCUCAAA